GAUGAACGCUGGCGGAGUGCCUAACACAUGCAAGUCGAGCGGCAGCGCGAGUAGUUUACUACUUGGCGGCGAGCGGCGGACGGUUGAGUAACGCGUGGGAACAUGCCCAAAGUGAGGAAUAACUGCCCGAAAGGGUAGCUAAUGCCGCAUACGAUCUUCGGAUUAAAGGAUUUAUCCGCUUUGGGAGUGGCCUGCGUACGAUUAGAUAGUUGGUGAGGUAAUGGCUCACCAAGUCUACGAUCGUUAACUGGUUUGAGAGGAUGAUCAGUCAGACUGGAACUGAGACACGGUCCAGACUCCUACGGAGGCAGCAGUGAGGAAUCUUCCACAAUGGACGAAAGUCUGAUGGAGCAACUCCGCGUGCAGGAUGAAGGCCUUCGGGUCGUAAACUGCUUUAUGAGUGAAGAAUAUGACGGUAACUCAUGAAUAAGGGUCGGCUAACUACGUGCCAGCAGCCGCGGUAAU
Molecule: ribosomal RNA, 465 nt
Filed under: uncultured bacterium
Lineage: Bacteria
Description: bacterial SSU rRNA
Rfam family: Bacterial small subunit ribosomal RNA
Source: RNAcentral